GCUGGGUACUCGAGUGGCGAACGGGUGAGUAACACGUGGGUGAUCUGCCCUGCACUCUGGGAUAAGCCUGGGAAACUGGGUCUAAUACCGGAUAUGACCAUGGGAUGCAUGUUCUGUGGUGGAAAGCUUUUGCGGUGUGGGAUGGGCCCGCGGCCUAUCAGCUUGUUGGUGGGGUAAUGGCCUACCAAGGCGACGACGGGUAGCCGACCUGAGAGGGUGAUCGGCCACACUGGGACUGAGACACGGCCCAGACUCCUACGGGAGGCAGCAGUGGGGAAUAUUGCACAAUGGGCGCAAGCCUGAUGCAGCGACGCCGCGUGAGGGAUGACGGCCUUCGGGUUGUAAACCUCUUUCACCAGGGACGAAGCGUGAGUGACGGUACCUGGAGAAGAAGCACCGGCCAACUACGUGCCAGCAGCCGCGGUAAUACGUAGGGUGCGAGCGUUGUCCGGAAUUACUGGGCGUAAAGAGCUCGUAGGCGGUUUGUCGCGUCGUCUGUGAAAUUCUGCAACUCAAUUGUAGGCGUGCAGGCGAUACGGGCAGACUUGAGUACUACAGGGGAGACUGGAAUUCCUGGUGUAGCGGUGAAAUGCGCAGAUAUCAGGAGGAACACCGGUGGCGAAGGCGGGUCUCUGGGUAGUAACUGACGC
Molecule: ribosomal RNA, 650 nt
Filed under: Gordonia effusa
Lineage: Bacteria; Bacillati; Actinomycetota; Actinomycetes; Mycobacteriales; Gordoniaceae
Description: bacterial SSU rRNA
Rfam family: Bacterial small subunit ribosomal RNA
Source: RNAcentral